This 211-nucleotide ribosomal RNA is filed under the name uncultured bacterium. RNAcentral describes it as "partial 16S ribosomal RNA". It matches the Rfam family "Bacterial small subunit ribosomal RNA", at positions 1290 to 1500 of the family's 1533-position model. The record is from RNAcentral.
AGUUCGGACUGUAGGCUGCAACUCGCCUACACGAAGUUGGAAUUGCUAGUAAUCGUGGAUCAGCAUGCCACGGUGAAUACGUUCCCGGGUCUUGUACACACCGCCCGUCACACCAUGGGAGCUGGUAACACCCGAAGUCAGUAGUCUAACCGCAAGGAGGACGCUGCCGAAGGUGGGAUUAGCGACUGGGGUGAAGUCGUAACAAGGUAAC